RNAcentral lists this long non-coding RNA (704 nucleotides) under Homo sapiens (human). RNAcentral's name for it is "non-protein coding lnc-HAND1-7:1". The record is from RNAcentral. Lineage: Eukaryota; Metazoa; Chordata; Mammalia; Primates; Hominidae.
UGGAUCUUGUUAAUGCUGAUUCUGGCACAGUAGGUCUAGGGCGGGGCCUGAGAUUCUGCAUUUCUAACAAGAACCCAGGUGAUGCUGACGCUGCUGGGCCAAAAAAGACACUUUGAGUAGCAAGGGUUAGGCAACCUUUAAAGGGCCCUUCAAGAGUCUAAGAUUCCAUGAAGGAUACUAUUUCCUCUACAAGCUUGUGAAAGUCUUCCAGUGCUACUGGGAAUGGGGUACAGGGAUAAAUCUCACUGUUUUGACCUCACAGAAGUAAACCCCUAGAAUCAUGUUCUCAAAAUGAAACACUGGAUUGCUGAACUGAUGGCAUUGAGAAUUAAGGCUCCAAAAUCCUGGGAGUUUCAUACCUAACUCCACUGCCUUUGCCUUAUGAUGCACACUGCUCCCUCUAUCCCUCCCUCCCAGGGUCUGCAGAGAUGAACUAUGCUGUUUUAGGUCUCAUUGGUCCUUAUACCUUCCCUAAACCAGGAGGACUUUGGAGCCUGCUGACACAGGGAGUUCUACAUGUCUAAGCACGCAGCUGCUAGAGUCCUCAGCCAUCUGAGCUAAAUAGCUGCUCAGAGACAAUUAGUACACCUCCGCUCAUCUUACAGAUAAAGGAACUGAAGUCCAAACAAGCCAAGCUACCCAACCAAGGCCUCACAGCAGGCAAGAGGAUAAAAACCAUGUCCUUUGACUCCCAGGUUAGUUUU